AAAGUCGUACAAGGUUUCCGUAGGUGAACCUGCGGAAGGAUCAUUAGUGAAUUUUAGGGCAUCUACUUCGGUAGAGCCUGACCCCCACUUUCUAACACUGUGCACACAUUGGCGGGAGAAUAUUAGCAAGGAAGUAAAAUUUCGAGCUUAUAUUUUCUUGCGGCUCAUUUUAAACAUUAGUUAAAGUAUGUAACGAAAUAUCGAAAUAAAAAAAAACUUUCAACAACGGAUCUCUUGGCUCUCGCAUCGAUGAAGAACGCAGCGAAAUGUGAUAAGUAAUGUGAAUUGCAGAAUUCAGUGAAUCAUCGAAUCUUUGAACGCACCUUGCGCUCCCUGGUAUUCCGGGGAGCAUGUCUGUUUGAGUGUCAUGAACUCUUCAACCCACCAAUUUCUUGUAAAUUGAAUGGUGUUUGGAUUUUGAGCGCUGCUGGUUCUUCGGAAUGUAGCUCGUUCGUAAUAUAUUAGCAUCUCUAAUUCGAAAUCGGAUAGACUUGGUUUAAUAGACUAUUAACCAAGGACACUUUUAUUAGUGGCCGAAUGAGAAACUGUUAGAAGCUUCCAACUAUAAUAGUCAACUUUAGAUUAGACCUCAGAUCAGUCAGGAUUACCCGCUGAACUUAAGCAUAUCAAUAAGCGGAGGAAAAGAAACUAACAAGGAUUCCCCUAGUAACGGCGAGUGAAGCGGGAAGAGCUCAAAUUUGUAAUCUGGCGCCUUCGGCGUCCGAGUUGUAAUCUCGAGAAGUG
Molecule: ribosomal RNA, 744 nt
Filed under: Basidiomycota sp. BL58
Lineage: Eukaryota; Fungi; Basidiomycota
Description: eukaryotic LSU rRNA
Rfam family: 5.8S ribosomal RNA (bases 215-368)
Source: RNAcentral